Molecule: non-coding RNA, 135 nt
Organism: Triticum urartu
Lineage: Eukaryota; Viridiplantae; Streptophyta; Magnoliopsida; Poales; Poaceae
Source: Rfam
ACAGUACUCCCUCCGUUCCGAAUUACUUGUCUUGAAUUUGUCUAGAUACGAAUGUAUCUAGACUCAUUUUAAUGCUAGAUACAUCCGUAUUUAAACAAAUAUAAGACAAGUAAUUCGGAACGGAGAGAGUACGUU